Molecule: long non-coding RNA, 2098 nt
Organism: Magnolia sinica
Lineage: Eukaryota; Viridiplantae; Streptophyta; Magnoliopsida; Magnoliales; Magnoliaceae
Exons: 2
Source: RefSeq, a predicted model, not a curated record
UUUUUUUAUUUUUUGAAGUCUGGAAGUCUGGAAAGAUGGAAUCGUCCCCAAAACAAUUCUUUGUCCAUGACAUUUGACUAAAGCCAAUAGCAUCAUUGUUAUGAAUAUAUUUUUAAGAGAAUAAUCUAGUUUGAAACCACCAUAUUAAACCUCACUAUGGUUGUUUCAAAAUGGACAGUUUCCCUCAUUUGAACAAUUACUGAUCAAUGAAUUGGCCGUGCCCAUGGGCACAAAGGGGCUUACAAUGAAUCAUGUAACCAUCCAAUCAAAACUAGUGGUGAUAACAGUUUUCUUUUGAGCCAUCACCAUAUUAACCUCAAAAUCAAUGUUUCAUUCCAGAUUUGUCCAAAUUUUGGUGUUUACUGACCACCAUACUAUCCAGUCAGACAAUGAUUUGGAUUCACCAAAGCCAUAUCAUAUUGGAAGGUGUGCCUAUUUAUUUUAGUAUUAUGAGAAUAACAUAUAGAAAAUAUAGAAGAUAAUAUCAUUUAAAAAAAGAAAAGCAUACAUCAAAUGUCAUGGCAAUGUAGAUAUUGAGAGUUAGGAAUAUGCUUCCUCAGACUCACCAACCUUGGAAACAUAACCCUUGCAUGGAGAUAUUGAGGGCCUGGAAACAGGAACAUAAGUCCUACAAACACAUAAUUAUCUGUUUUGCCAAAGCCAACACUAUCAAUGAAACUAAUUUAAUUUUAAGGUAAAUGUUCCACUGUUGAAAAAACGAUUCAACAUCUAGCUAAUGGCUGCUUCAAACUGGAUCAUUUUCCUAAUUAAAAUAUUUACCAACCUGUGUAUUAGGUUUAAUGAAUCUUAUCACUACCCAACCAGAUCAGAUGGUGACAAGAUUCACCCAUAUGCUAGAUGGUGACAAGCUUCUUGAACCAAUUCUCUGUUGACAGUCAUCGGUAUGCUACUAAAGCAAUUUGAAGUUAGUUGAUCUUCUUAAAUUGGAUUGCCUUUUAUUUAACCAGCAUCACCAAACUUCAAUCUUUCAAAAAAAAAAAAAAAAAAGAUGACAAAGGUCUGAACAGUUUCACAUUUAAUAUUUAUCCUUCUGUUUCUCGUCUGACUUAUAUCAUGUUUUCAAUGCCUUGCUUAAAAAAUGCAGUUGUGUAGGGCCUAUUCAUGUCACUCUCAUUCGCUUGAAAGAUUUAUGUUGUAGGAAACUAAAACAUGGAACUCAAGAUAAACAUUGUGCUUGCCAGUAUGUGAGUAAUAUCCACUAUGAGAAGUUAUCAUGUUGGCCCAAGAGUUUGGGAAACGGAGAUGCCAUUCCAAUGGAAUGUGUUUGCCAUCUCUAGACUUUCUAGUUUUUUGUUUUUCAUAGUUUUUUAUGUUGGUUGGGUUUUAUUUUUUAAAUAUAGUUGAGGCCUACUUUCCAUCCAAAAGGGUUGUUUGAUGAAAGCAAGAUAGCAUCUUCAAAGGAAUCUAAAGCCAUAACACAACUGUGGUAUUUGAAUGGAAGAUGUCCCGAAGGCACCAUUCCCAUCAGAAGAACAAAGAGAGGAUAUUCUAAGAGCAAGCUCAGUGAAAAGAUAUGAGAGAUGCUUAUCAAGCCCCAAGCUGCUACAACCUCCUAUGCUCAGGUUUCAUUCAAGUAAACAGUGAAAUAGCAAUGGGGCCAACAUCUUCCCAGUCUCAGGCUAUCAUGGUUCCCAAUAUGAUAACAGUAUACUUGUCUGGAAGGUAAAAUGGUAAUAAUGGUAAUUGGGGCAGCUUCUUUUAUUAUGGUGGGCCUGGUAAAAUUUCCAAAUGCCUUAGGAAUAUCCUAAUUCCCCUCUCUUUUCUCACUCUCUCUGUACCAUUCCAUGUAAUCCUAAGGGUUAUUUUUGCUCCCCUUUCUUCACUCCCUUUAGUAACAUGUGCAUGUACUCCAUUUCUCCUUUUUAGAGGUUUUGAGUACUCAUUUUUCUUUCUUUUUUCCUUUUUUUAUUAUAAAAAAAUAAUUUACUUUCUACUCUCUACAUAAGAGGUUGGAGAGAAGUCAAGUUUCUAUAGGCAAGAGAAACAGGCUCGUCUUCUAUAUAUGUAAUUUGUUUGCCUUCUCCCUUCUUGGGUCGAUUUGUUUAGUUAUUAAUGGAUGGGUGGAAUUUUGGUGUUG